UAGUAAAAUAAGCUAAACUAAGCUUUUGGGCCCAUACCCCAAACAUGUUGGUUAAAAUCCUUCUUUUACUA
RNAcentral lists this transfer RNA (71 nucleotides) under Tylototriton taliangensis (Taliang knobby newt). RNAcentral's name for it is "tRNA-Met". It matches the Rfam family "tRNA". Rfam says of the family: Transfer RNA (tRNA) molecules are approximately 80 nucleotides in length. Their secondary structure includes four short double-helical elements and three loops (D, anti-codon, and T loops). RNAcentral also lists the same sequence under 3 other names. Lineage: Eukaryota; Metazoa; Chordata; Amphibia; Caudata; Salamandridae. The record is from RNAcentral.